Molecule: long non-coding RNA, 769 nt
Organism: Aegilops tauschii subsp. strangulata
Lineage: Eukaryota; Viridiplantae; Streptophyta; Magnoliopsida; Poales; Poaceae
Source: RefSeq, a predicted model, not a curated record
CUCUAUACAAGCUAGGCAUCUCACCCGGCCGGAAAGAAAUAUAUACAAGUUAUUAGAGGCAUCCUUUGGGCCGGCAAUCCAUCCGCAGUUGAUUUGGCAUCAUGGAACCUUAGCCUCGGGGAACACGCAAGGCAUAAUAUGCUGCGUGGAAAAAGCACACACUUGUGUAAGUAAGAAAAAGGGUAUCAUGGUGGUGCUAAAGCAGCUGCUCGUCGGUCAUCUACUCCCAUCUCCUUCCUCUAAAUCAUUGCUUCUUACCCUCUCCUGAUGCAGCAACCAAGCAUUAUCCCGCCACGGAGCGCACCUAGCAUUGUUGUUUCCGCACGAAGCUUCCUCUGCUCUGCUUCGUUCCGAGGAAAUAAAGAGCUGGCAUAUAUAAGCCUUGAUUAAUUAGCCAAUCUCUGCCAUUUGUACGCAGAGCGCUCGAUUGGCAUUUCAGCUCGAUCAAUGGACAAGCAGAAAUGCAGCUCUGCUGCAUCGGAGAGCUUCUCUAGGCACGUCACUGGGCAGUUGUUCCGAGUCAAUGCUCUCCUUUUGGUGAACACCAUCCUGAUGGGGGUCAUUGUUAUGGCGCUGCUAGAAGGAGGGCGCGAGAGGGCCUGCCGGGGGCCUUUUUGCCCACGGCCGGGCAAGAGGGAAGGGAUUUUAUUCUUAAUUCUUGCUUGAUUAGAUUGAUACAUCUCCUCUCAUUAUAUAGAGAGGUUUACUUGACUCCCAAGUAAGGUUUACUUGACCCCUAAGAAAGCGACUCUUAUCUCUAAUUAACCCU